AAGCCAGAUUUUAUUACCGUUGAUGAUUGGAUUGAAAUAAAGAGAAUUUGGGAGAGUGAAAAAAAUAAGCAAAGGAGUGAACAAAAUGCCAAGAAUCGGGUUUCUACUUCUAGUGAAGGGUCUGCGACAUAUGCUGGGGGCUCUAUCAAUAUUGGGGAGCACAAAAAAGAAUGGCACAUGAAUUGGGGACGGAACCGACCUAUGCAGCUACUUUUGAACGCACAUUUCAAAAGAAGAUAAGACAUGGAUUGGCGACCGAGCAAAAUAUGUUAAGGAAAAAUAUGAUGAGCUUUAAUGAG
Molecule: long non-coding RNA, 299 nt
Organism: Rhodamnia argentea
Lineage: Eukaryota; Viridiplantae; Streptophyta; Magnoliopsida; Myrtales; Myrtaceae
Exons: 3
Source: RefSeq, a predicted model, not a curated record